Molecule: long non-coding RNA, 745 nt
Filed under: Salvia miltiorrhiza (redroot sage)
Lineage: Eukaryota; Viridiplantae; Streptophyta; Magnoliopsida; Lamiales; Lamiaceae
Description: long non-coding RNA (SMIL_LNC012053)
Source: RNAcentral
AAGUUUAAUUAGGUUGUUACUCCUAUUUCUUCUUAUCUAGUUAUCCAAUCUUAUUUUAGAAUCUUGCUAUUAUGAAGGUGACAGUGGAAACGUUAGAUAAGUGAGCAAGAGUUUCUACUUCAUUAAGCGUAUCAGGUGGGCUUUCUAAACUCAUAAUUUGAAGUGCGCACUAUUUAAUUAUGUUAUUAUAUGAAUGAAGUUAUAUUAAAGUUAUUGACUUGCCAAAUUAUUUUAUGAGCUUGUAUGUUACCAUCUACGAGAGAUAGACGAUAUCGGCCCUAUGCUGAAGCGAGAUGUCAGUAAGGGUUUGUGCACAUAGUUGUGACCGUGAGUCAUCGAGCGGGUUGGCCGGUCACUGUGAUCGGGAGCCUUCGGGCCGAUCACUGUGUUUGAGAAGGAGGCCUACUUCUCAACACAAGGUUACAUGAUGCGUAGUUAUGGUACAUACAUGUUAAUUGUCUGCAGACGUAUAUGAUGUUAUGAUGAUAUAUAUAUAGAAGUUUUACAGUUUUGGCGUGCACAGGUUAUUUAAAUAAAACUCCUGUGUGAUGCUUGAGAUGGCAAGUUCAAUAUAUAGCUCUAAGAGCAAACUUUAAAGUUAUUUCGGCAUGUGACCAUUGAGUACCUUUUUAGUACUCAGCCCUGCAUAUGUUUCUAAAUGUGCAGGUUAAGCUGUGAUGCAGAUGGAGGCGAGCAGAGCAAAGCUUUUGAAGUAUAAGUAUUAAAUUAGGCUCAGGAUUCCAUG